CGCGGCCUAUCAGCUUGUUGGUGAGGUAAUGGCUCACCAAGGCGACGACGGGUAGCCGGCCUGAGAGGGUGACCGGCCACACUGGGACUGAGACACGGCCCAGACUCCUACGGGAGGCAGCAGUGGGGAAUAUUGCACAAUGGGCGCAAGCCUGAUGCAGCGACGCCGCGUGAGGGAUGACGGCCUUCGGGUUGUAAACCUCUUUCAGUAGGGAAGAAGCGAAAGUGACGGUACCUGCAGAAGAAGCGCCGGCUAACUACGUGCCAGCAGCCGCGGUAAUACGUAGGGCGCAAGCGUUAUCCGGAAUUAUUGGGCGUAAAGAGCUCGUAGGCGGUUUGUCGCGUCUGCCGUGAAAGUCCGGGGCUCAACUCCGGACCUGCGGUGGGUACGGGCAGACUAGAGUGUGGUAGGGGAGACUGGGAUUCCUGGUGUAGCGGUGAAAUGCGCAGAUAUCAGGAGGAACACCGGUGGCGAAGGCGGUUCUCUGGGCAUUACCUGACGCUGAGGAGCGAAAGUGUGGGGAGCGAACAGGAUUAGAUACCCUGGUAGUCCACACCGUAAACGUUGGGCACUAGGUGUGGGGGACAUUCCACGUUUUCCGCGCCGUAGCUAACGCAUUAAGCACCCCGCCUGGGGAGUACGG
RNAcentral lists this ribosomal RNA (643 nucleotides) under uncultured Actinomycetes bacterium. RNAcentral describes it as "bacterial SSU rRNA". It matches the Rfam family "Bacterial small subunit ribosomal RNA", at positions 232 to 885 of the family's 1533-position model. Lineage: Bacteria; Bacillati; Actinomycetota; Actinomycetes. The record is from RNAcentral.